Molecule: long non-coding RNA, 511 nt
Filed under: Panax ginseng (ginseng)
Lineage: Eukaryota; Viridiplantae; Streptophyta; Magnoliopsida; Apiales; Araliaceae
Description: long non-coding RNA (PGIN_LNC001935)
Source: RNAcentral
AAUUAUACACUUAAGGGCAUUUUUGUCAUUUCCUUAAAUUUCUAGAAAAUUACCUUAGGGUUUAGGGUUUAGACAUUUUAGUGUUUAGGGUUUGAGCCAAUUUGGGUAAACAAAAAUCUAGGAUUUCUAAUUUAGGGUUUGCACACAAAAAUUAAAUAAAUAAAAUUAAAUAACUUUUAGUUUCUAAAAUUUUGCAAAAUAAAUUUGUUAAUUAAUUAAGUUUGUAAUUACAUGAACAUUAGGGUUUAUUACCCUUAAUCAUAACGAACUUUGCUAAUAAAGCAAUUAGGGUUUAAAACAUCGAUCAUUACGGUUUCUAGAAAUACAAUUAGGGUUUCUAGAAAUUAAAUUAGGGUUCUAGGUUUUAGGGUUUUAAUUUACUAAUUACGUUUAUUUUAAUUAGCAAUUAAAGUCCAACACACGUGUUAUUAAUCACUGUAACACAACUCUUGACAGAUCAAACCUCCAUUUUAGGUUUUCCGGAUUAGGGUUUCUAAUAUUGGAAAUUAGG